This 3596-nucleotide unclassified non-coding RNA is filed under the name Hevea brasiliensis (rubber tree). The record is from RNAcentral. Lineage: Eukaryota; Viridiplantae; Streptophyta; Magnoliopsida; Malpighiales; Euphorbiaceae.
GAAGAAGCAAAAUAUCAGAUAACAAGCUUGGGACUUGGGAACUCUUCUGGCCCUCAAGACAAGCCAUUCCAAACAAAACCCAAAACAAACACAUUGUGUGCACUUUCUUCUGUGCACAUAUCGGUGUCUCUUUGCCUCCACCAAUGUUCAUUCCCUUCAUAUUUCCCUGUUCAAUUCAUGUUUGAUUCUUGUGUGCUGUUGUUAGUAUGGGAGCUCAGAAGAGCAUCCAUGCUGGGAAAGCCAAAAUUGAUGUCAAUGUUGAUCUCACCCACAAGCUAUGUGCUUCCUUGAUGCUCCCUCCUCUCAGAAACACUGCCAGCCCUCUUUCACUCAUAAUUGGGAGUCUUUGCCUCAAACACCCCAAUUUAUUUGGUGGGAGUGAGAAGCUUGAUUUAUCAUGGGAUAAGGGGCUGUAUGAUUCAAAUGUAUUGAUAGCUUAUAGGAGGCCAAGACCUGAAUGGCUAGCUCAACAAUGUUUUAUCAUUCAGGUGAGCAUCAAUUAAACCUUUUGCUGCUGUUAUUUUAUUGAUGAAAAUUAAGAAAAGAUGGAACACUAAUCUGGCAUUAGAGUUGGGCCUUUAUGAAGUCCCAUAACCAAGUUGAUUAUAGAUGAAAGUCCAACUGGGAAUUUGAAGGAAACAAGUUUGAUUUUGUGCACUGGUUCACAGCAUUUUAUUUCCUCUAUUUUUCUAAUUACUUGGCUUAGCAUUCUGUUUCACCUGAAAUCGGCAUCCAUGGUACACCGGUCGACAAUUUCUCUCGUUCGGGGAGUAGAGGUGUGAAUUUGUCUCGAUUUUCAGUGGGCUUGGAUCUGAAUGAGCCUGCGAGUUCCCAAUGGAGCAGCACAACCAGUAUUAAAUUUGAGCAUGUACACCUGCUGAAUGAUGAUGGCCGCUCUAUAACUAGUGAUCCUGAUGGGUUCCCAGUGACUUGCAGUGGCAGUCCUCAUGAUCGUAUGGUAGUCUUGAAGCAAGAAUCUCGAUAUGUGAAGGCCAAUGAUCAUAGUUUUUCUCAUCUCAGCAUGCAAAUAGAACAAGGGAUUCCUGUUUUGUCAAAGUGGCUAAUCUUUAAUCGUUUCAAAUUUGUUGCAACAAGGGGAGUUAAACUUGGGCCAGCAUUUUUCUUGGCAAGUCUGACAGGUGGUUCCAUUGUAGGGGACAUGGCUCCUUAUCAAGCAUUUGCUAUAGGUGGUGUUGGUAGUGUGCGAGGGUAUGGUGAGGGUGCUGUUGGAUCUGGGAGAUCAUGUCUGGUUGCAAAUAGUGAAUUGACAUUCCCUGUGAACAAGAUGUUGGAAGGUGUUGUUUUCCUGGACUGUGGAACAGACUUAGGCUCUGGUCGACUUGUACCUGGUAAGUUUCAUAUAUGACUUGCAAUUGCAAAACUAACAAAAUUUUCUUGUCAAUAUACCUUGUUAAUAAGAGAAAAAGAAUAUGCACUUUUAGUCCUUAGUGUAUAACUAUCAGAACCUAUUGGAAUAAAUUUUCACAUUUCAUGUGGGAUGGAUGCUUCAUGUGGGAUGGGGGGAGAGAGUAGCCGAAUAGGUAAAUUUUAGGACAGCAGUGCUUCAAGAUUUUAACUUCUAACACAGGUAAUCAAAGUAAAAAUAUUAGUGAAUUAUUAGAAAUUGAUAAAUGUUUAUCAUGGGAUGAAUUGUAAAUGAAAUUAAAAAAGGAAUCUAUGAAUGGUUAUCGUGAACAUCAUUUUGGUUCAGUUUUGCUGUUAAUUAUGUAAUAUGUUUAGGUUUUGACUUUCGAGAAUUCUAGGGUUAGAGGAAAUAGUAUCCAUGGCUGAAUUGUUGGCCAAGUUGCUUGAAAAUAUGGAGCAUAAGAUAAAAAAAUUUCCGAGUUCUCAAUGGUACCAGACCACUUUGUAUUGCAUUACACAUUUCCUAAGAGUUUCAAGGCUUGCUUGUUGUAUAAAACAAAUCUUUCUCACUUCUUGAAAGUGCAUGCAUGUUUGAACAUUUAGCAGUCCCACUUGUAGUUCUCUCAGAACAUAAAUUCUCCUUGGAAACAGAUAGCUUGAUGACUCCUAAAAAAGUUACGAUCAUGUAUCAACACCUAGAUGAGUAUAACCCACUCUACAAUACUAUUUGAUGUUAAGAAGCUUUCAUUGCUUGAGGUUAAAAAUUUCCUGAUAUUUAUUUAUUUAUUUUUUUUAUUGAGAAAUAUCCAGCAACAGUUUUGUAACCCCUGAAAGUAAUUUAAUAGUAGAACUCUCACUGAAAAUUAACAUAACAGUUAUGAGAGGUCUCUCUAAAUCAUUACAAAUUAAGCCGUCAUAAAUAGCCCUCCCAAACAUAGGCUGUCCCAGUCAGCAAUGUUACAUUUUUCUGCAAUAUUGGAAGGAAGUGCAGAUUUUGGCAGAUUAGCAACUCCACAAUGUGAUUAGUCGACUUAAUAGCUCUCACUUCUUUUUCUUCCCUUAACAAACGGUUAAUUGAUAUAAUCCCUGGCCUCAACUAACAGCCACGAUUUAGCCAACUGGAAAAAUUCAAGUUACUUCUUUUAAAACUGUAAUGCUAGAAUUUUGUCCGUGCAAAAGAAAAUCAUAUAUAGAAAAGCUUAAGCUCUUAAUUUGUCUCCCUUUCUUUUGUUUCCUUUUUCAGUUAUUUUGUUACUCAAGUUUGUUGACUGCAUUAUACGAUAACCUCACAUGGGCAAGAAGGGGGAUAUCUAAUGUAAUAUAUUGUGUUGGCAAGAAGGGGGAUAUCUGUGCAUCAACAUUAUGAAGCCUUACUAUAUAUUUGAUUGCAUGAUUCUGCACUUUCUUGCUAUUUAAACGAAGUUAUCUUAUCCUUGCUUGUAUUAAAUCAAAAUAUCUGCUUGAACCUUCCCCAUUAGAAUUCCCAUUUUCUAGUACAAUACUGCUCAUAUUCUAUUUUCAUUAAAAUUGUGAUAUAAGCAUGGAAAAAGGCUUCUGAAGUUUCUGUUUCCCUUCCUGCCCCUGCCUUCCCCACAAAAAACCUAACACACCAUGCACAUGUAUCUUUAUCGGUGGACUUGGAGUUUCAGGAAAUCCAGCACAAAGGCAGCGCAAACCAGGAUCUGGGAUUGGGUUUGGAUACGGCCUUCGCUUGAAGUCUCCAUUUGGUCACUUUCAUGUUGACUAUGCCAUCAAUUCCUUUCACCAAAAAACUGUCUACUUUGGCAUCGGCAACCUUAUUUCAUGAAUGUCUUGCACCUCAAAGCUGCAGUUACACAUUUUUUCCAGGUUGUUUAAAUUUGUUAUUGAGAAGAGUUGAGGAGAAGCUUUGAAGGUUGCAACUGAAAAACGUCACCUUUUCAUUCUGCUGGGGCAGUUGCAACCGUGUAUCACCUGUUUUCAGUAAAAAGUUGCAAGGGAUGCAGCGCGUUCAAGCUACGUGUGGAAGUUUUUUCUGCUGCAGUUUUGGGCACACUUGUAUAGAAAAAUAGUAUAUUCUUCCUGAAUUUAUAUUCAUAGUGCAAAAACAAUGGUAACUUCGUUGAUUCUUUUUGAAAUGGAUUUUAUUUCCCAUAUUUCCAAUGUUGCAAGUCUGUGAACUUACAUAUGCUAAAACGAAAGUUUUCUUUCUUCUAUCUCAGCAAAGAAAUGUGAGAUGGUAAGGGGUUCCA